Molecule: transfer RNA, 91 nt
Filed under: Paracoccus denitrificans
Lineage: Bacteria; Pseudomonadati; Pseudomonadota; Alphaproteobacteria; Rhodobacterales; Paracoccaceae
Description: tRNA-Arg
Rfam family: tRNA
About the family: Transfer RNA (tRNA) molecules are approximately 80 nucleotides in length. Their secondary structure includes four short double-helical elements and three loops (D, anti-codon, and T loops).
Source: RNAcentral
GGGUGGAUGGCAGAGCGGUUUAUUGCGGACGCUUUCUAAUCGUCUGGUCUUCACAAGAGAUCCGUGGGUUCGAAUCCCACUCCAUCCAACA